Molecule: ribosomal RNA, 497 nt
Filed under: uncultured bacterium
Lineage: Bacteria
Description: partial 16S ribosomal RNA
Rfam family: Bacterial small subunit ribosomal RNA
Source: RNAcentral
GAUGAACGCUGGCGGCGUGCCUAAUACAUGCAAGUCGAGCGAACGGACGAGAAGCUUGCUUCUCUGAUGUUAGCGGCGGACGGGUGAGUAACACGUGGAUAACCUACCUAUAAGACUGGGAUAACUUCGGGAAACCGGAGCUAAUACCGGAUAAUAUUUUGAACCGCAUGGUUCAAAAGUGAAAGACGGUCUUGCUGUCACUUAUAGAUGGAUCCGCGCUGCAUUAGCUAGUUGGUAAGGUAACGGCUUACCAAGGCAACGAUGCAUAGCCGACCUGAGAGGGUUAUCGGCCACACUGGAACUGAGACACGCUCCAGACUCCUACGGGAGGCAGCAGUAGGGAAUCUUCCGCAAUGGGCGAAAGCCUGACGGAGCAACGCCGCGUGAGUGAUGAAGGUCUUCGGAUCGUAAAACUCUGUUAUUAGGGAAGAACAUAUGUGUAAGUAACUGUGCACAUCUUGACGGUACCUAAUCAGAAAGCCACGGCUAACUACGUG